RNAcentral lists this ribosomal RNA (250 nucleotides) under uncultured bacterium. Its description in RNAcentral is "partial 16S ribosomal RNA". It matches the Rfam family "Bacterial small subunit ribosomal RNA", at positions 355 to 596 of the family's 1533-position model. The record is from RNAcentral.
GGAUGAAUUUUGCGCAAUGGGGGAAACCCUGACGCAGCAACGCCGCGUGAGUGAUGAAGGCCUUCGGGUCGUAAAGCUCUGUCAAGUGGGAAGAAUCUGCCCGGUGAUAAUACCGCUGGGCAAUGACGGUACCGCUGAAGGAAGCACCGGCUAACUCCGUGCCAGCAGCCGCGGUAAUACGGGGGGUGCUAGCGUUAUUCGGAAUCAUUGGGCGUAAAGGGCGCGUAGGCGGUCUUUUAAGUCAGAUGUG